AUUAUGGCUCAGGAUGAACGCUGGCGGCGUGCCUAACACAUGCAAGUCGAACGGUGACAUAUAGAUGAUUUCGGUCUGAAAUAUAUCAUAGUGGCGGACGGGUGAGUAACGCGUGGAUAACCUGCCCCGUACUGGGGGAUAGCAGCUGGAAACGGCUGGUAAUACCGCAUAAGCGCACGAGGGGGCCUCCCCCUGUGUGAAAAGAUUCAUCGGUACGGGAUGGGUCCGCGUCUGAUUAGCCAGUUGGCGGGUAACGGCCCACCAAAGCGACGAUCAGUAGCCGGCCUGAGAGGGUGAACGGCCACAUUGGGACUGAGACACGGCCCAGACUCCUACGGGAGGCAGCAGUGGGGAAUAUUGCACAAUGGGCGAAAGCCUGAUGCAGCGACGCCCGCGUGAGUGAAGAAGUAUUUCGGUAUGUAAAGCUCUAUCAGCAGGGAAGAAAGGCCCUUUAAGGGAGAUGACGGUACCUGACUAAGAAGCCCCGGCUAACUACGUGCCAGCCGCCGC
Molecule: ribosomal RNA, 510 nt
Filed under: uncultured bacterium
Lineage: Bacteria
Description: bacterial SSU rRNA
Rfam family: Bacterial small subunit ribosomal RNA
Source: RNAcentral